Molecule: long non-coding RNA, 2615 nt
Organism: Nomia melanderi (Alkali bee)
Lineage: Eukaryota; Metazoa; Arthropoda; Insecta; Hymenoptera; Halictidae
Source: RefSeq, a predicted model, not a curated record
CCUCGCCACGCUCUUGGCUUCGCUCUCCCGUCGCCGCGGACAAUGCGUCGCCCCGUCUCCUUUCAUCGGCGUGGAACCCGCGUACCGAGCGACUCUAGCCGUUGUUUCUUUGUCCCGCGAUCGAAUUCCUUCUUCCCGAUUAUUCAGGGAAAUCCCGGAGAACAUCGGUGAACUACGGAGAAUGUUCCAGAAAUUUGAUAGAGGUCUUAAACUGUUGAUCUUUUCGAUCUUGAAGCUUUUUCCACUGAUCGGGAACCUCGGGGAACAUCAAUGAACUACGGAGAUGUUCCAAAAAUUUGAUAGAGGUCUUAAACUGUUAGUUAUAACAGUUAUAAGGAAAACUUAUAGAACAUUGAUGAACUUCGGAGAAAGUUCGAGAAACGUUGAUAAGAAUUUGAAACCAUUGUUCUCUUCGAUUCUAAUCGAAGCACAGUUUUAAGUGGAUCCUCUAUCUUUGCUCGAGGUGUACAGAAAUAGCGUUUAUAACAGUUUAUCAGAGUGAUUAAUGAUGUUCCUUUGUUCCACGAUUGAAAUCUUUUCCGAUUUAGCUGGAGAAACUUCAAGAACAUCGAUGAACUUCGAAGAAAGCUGGAGAAACGUUUUUGAUCUUAAUCGAAGCAUCUUUCGCUGAUUCUUUCUAAGUUGAUCCUCUACCCUGGCUCAAGUGCUCCAGAAAUAGCUUCUUCAUAAUAGUAUAUUAGAGUAGUUAAUGAUGCUCCACCGGUAUCUCUCAAACGCAACAGAAGAGGUUCAAGGAAACGAUUAAUCUCUUGCUAGUCAAGUCUACUAGACGCUAGCCACGUCCCAGCCACCACCUUAUCUCCGAGAUGAAACAGCGCUUUUAAAAAUACACCCACAGAACUCGAAUUGUGCGAUGCUCUUCGUUAUUUUCGGUAUCUGUUUCAGGCGAACGUGUGCGUAACCGUAUUGACGAACAGCAAACUAGUGAUCGAGAAUAUUAAGAAAUAGAAAACAAAACCUACAGAAAAUUCGGUAAGAAAAAACGAAAAUGAUCGAUCAGACGAAUUCCACAGCCUAGUCAUCAAGUGACCUAACAGUAAAUAUAAGAUUUGUCUAUUUAACACUAGAACUACCGAGUGAAAUCGACUCUUUGAAACAUCUCUAUAGAAACUCCAAGAGUGCAUCUAUUCAGACUUUGAUUCAUAAUUCAAUUUGCAUGUUGGCAAAUCAGUUUCUUUAAAAACUCCCAGAGAAGCGUCUGCUAUUUCUGUAAUAAUCGCGAAAAGAAGAAAUCCAGUAGUAGCUAGUUCUCUCAAGAAAGAUGUACCAUCUCUGCCCGACUCACCCUAAACUCUAUUUGCCUGGUAAACUGCGUGGAAAUUUCUGGAAAGACGAACGGACCGGGAACGCGGAAGGAGCGCGGCUGUCGCUCGCGAUGGCGUCCGCUUAGCUCAUCGCUAAAUUAGCCGGGCACCCCGUCAUCGGGCAAAAAAGCCCGUAUCCUUCGGCUUGGACAGUCGAUAACCUCCUGGGCCACUCGAGAAGAUUCGACGUCCGAGUAUUUAUAAUCGGGCCAGGCCCGGCGCGCGAAAAUUUUAAUCCCGGAUGGAGCGUGUCCGCGGCGUUGCGGAUCGGGCGGGCAAGCCUCUUGCAACAACAAUCGCCGGGGCUUCCCACCGGACCCGAGCUUUUACUGGCAAUAAACCGAAACCGUGACGCAAAUCGAAGAUAAAUUUAAACGGGCACCUAUGACGCGGCCAGAGAAUUAUUUCCUAUUCGAGUUCCAUUUCCGACCGGGCUGGGAAUAUUUCUAGGGACCGGCACGUGGUCGGCCGCGGUCUAUUAUUUUUCGCUUUCUCUGUUGAUCUGUGACGCUCACGCGGGUGCAGGAUCGACAUUUCGAAAUUACAAAUCUCUGCAACGUUUCAGGGGGUUGGACUGAUAGGGGACGGGGAAAGGGUGAAUUUUUCGGGGUACUCAUGGAUUAAUCGAAUGCCGGCAUGGGAAUGUUACCGAUAAUGUUGAAUAGCAUUCAUUGUUUGAGUAAUUGUGGUAUUAGUAAUAUGAGUUUUGUAUAUAAUGCAGAUUGGUAAGUAUUAUGUAAAUUAGGAAUGUAUGAAGUUUGAGUUUUAUCGUGAAUCGUUAUAGUUCGUAUGGAGUUUCGUUUUGGAUUGUGCUUUAAGCUUCUUAAACACCGAGGAGAAACAGGUCUUGGAUUCGCAUUUGUCGAACGUGAGUUUAUGACGAUUAUCGGUUGGCUAUUGAACUGCGAGAUAUACCUCGACGGUUUCAAUAGGGAUAAAAUAGCGUUGCGACAUUGAGAAAGAAAUUGCUAAGAGAAGGAUUAAACGAGAGUCAUAGAUACGUCGCGUAUCUUUCUUCGAUUUUGAGAGAUUAAACGAUAUUCACAGCUCGUUUGCGUUCAUGGUUCUAUUCCGGACAAUGUCGUGGAUUUUCCAUUCAUAGUUCGUUUCCGACAAAGGAACGGGUCAAGAGAUCAAGAGAGUACAAGUCUGCUUCUUCAAAGUCAGAGGAAAAGCUUGAAUCCCGUUAGAAGAUUCUCUUUUCAAGCAGAAUUCAAGCUUUUUCUUUCAAUGUUCACUACAAAGAAAGAUUCAAGAGCAUGAAUCUACGCCUCUCUUAGCAUUAGAAGC